Long non-coding RNA from Nerophis ophidion (straightnose pipefish), 917 nucleotides. RefSeq lists it as uncharacterized. The transcript has 2 exons. The record is from RefSeq and is a predicted model, not a curated record. Lineage: Eukaryota; Metazoa; Chordata; Actinopteri; Syngnathiformes; Syngnathidae.
GCGUGUGCAGUGUGUCAGCAGGAGAAGGCAGAGCACCAAGCAAAUACCUGGCACGCGUUCCAUGGUGGUCUUUAGGAAGAAAUCCGUCUGUUGGACUUCCUGCGUGGCUGUUCAGACCAAGACGGCUUUGUUUUGCAAGGCGCUGCAAGCUCUUAUCUCAGAGAGUGCAAAUGUUUUGCAGAUGUCUGACAGACGUUGGCGAACGUGUGAGGGGAGGCGAGCAACAAGGGUGCGUUGCUUUUGGCAAGUGUUCAGGCGGCUGCAACUUCUCCAACGUCUUCUAAAACUAUCUUGGGCCCUUCCAAUUGUGUUACCAGCCUGACGUCAUCCCUGACCCUGGAUUGUUUCCACCUGUUUCCCAUUACUCUCAUGUUUCAUAUAAGCCCAUGCCUCCCCAUGUCCAAUGCCAGAUUGUCUCGAGCUUUCGUUCCUGUCUAGCGUCCAUGUUCAUGUUCCUGUCCAUGCCUUGCCUGUCCCACGUCUACUUCCUUGGAUCCAGAAUUCCCACGCUGUAAUUUUGAGUUGAACUUUUUCUCCUCCUCAGAGCGAAUUUUGUUAUCUAGCCGUUGAUCAACCGAAGUGGUGAGUUAUGAUUUUUUCCUAAUAAUCUUUCCUUCCUCAAAGUUUUUGAGUGAUUUUCUGUUUACCUUUAUUAGACUAAGAUUAGAGUAGACAUUUUUAUAGUCAUUGUUUUUUUCCUCCUGUUGGAGCGUUUUAUGUUAAGCUUUCAUAACAGAUACGGCGCCAAAUAUAGUUUGUCUUUAUUUUGGUAUUUUCCUCCUUUUUAGGAGUGAUUUUCGUUUGUUCCCCUUUUGGAACCUUUUUCGCUUACCGUUUUUUGUUACUUAUAGAAUUUGUAUAACUCUGGCUCUGGAGGUUAAAGAGUUGUCAAAAUAAAAGCUUUACCAAGAAUCCCA